CACCGCCCGUCGCUACUACCGUAUUGAACGGUCGCAUUGAGGUCUUCGGAGUGGACGCGCGUUAUUCGGCCCCCUCGGGGGCUGGGUCGUCGCGCGAUCGCGAAGAUGACCGAAAUCGGCCGUUUAGAGGAAGUAAAAGUCGUAACAAGGUUUCCGUAGGUGAACCUGCGGAAG
This 174-nucleotide ribosomal RNA is filed under the name Acyrthosiphon pisum (pea aphid). Its description in RNAcentral is "Eukaryotic small subunit ribosomal RNA". It matches the Rfam family "Eukaryotic small subunit ribosomal RNA", at positions 1667 to 1823 of the family's 1831-position model. Lineage: Eukaryota; Metazoa; Arthropoda; Insecta; Hemiptera; Aphididae. The record is from Rfam by way of RNAcentral.